CCUACGGGUGGCAGCAGUGGGGGAUAUUGCACAAUGGGGGGAACCCUGAUGCAGCGACGCCGCGUGGGUGAAGGAGUGCUUCGGCAUGUAAAGCCCUAUCGGCAGGGAAGAGGCAAGACGGUAACUGACUAAGAAGCCCCGGCUAACGACGGUCCAGCAGCCGCGGGAAUACGGAGGGGGCGAGCGUUAUCCGGAGUCAAUGGGUGGAAAGGGGGCGUAGACGGCAAAGCAAGGCAGGGGUGAAAGCCCGGGGCCCAACCCCGGGACUGCCCUUGGAACUGCAUUGCUGGAGUGCGGGAGGGGCAGGCGGAAUUCCUGGUGUAGCGGUGAAAUGCGUAGAUAUCAGGAGGAACACCGGCGGCGAAGGCGGACUGCUGGACCGCGACUGACGUUGAGGCGCGAAAGCGUGGGGAGCGAACAGGAUUAGAUACCCUUGUAGUC
Molecule: ribosomal RNA, 441 nt
Filed under: uncultured bacterium
Lineage: Bacteria
Description: partial 16S ribosomal RNA
Rfam family: Bacterial small subunit ribosomal RNA
Source: RNAcentral